ACCCAGUAAUUAUAUAAUUAAAUCUUGCAUUAGCUUACAUUGCUCUCAGGUUAUAAACAACAUAACUAAUGUAUUUUUCAUAAUAGGAUCAAACACGACAAAAAUUUAUAAAUACAACCACUUUAAAACAUCCAAAACAAACAUCAAAUCAAAUAGAUUAAACACUAAAUGUCACAACCAAAAACAAGAACAAUAACUACAAUCUAGUUAUCAUUAGAUUCACUAUCUUCCUCAUCAUGAAAUACUUGAGGCAUGUGCUUCUUAACCAACUCCUCAAAUUUAGCAAACUUAGCAUCAUUAGCUACACAUUGUUGCAUCAAUUCCACAAUUUACUUUUUCAUCGCUUCUAUUUCUUCCAUAGUUUGUACCGUCCUUUUUCUUCCUAUACAUCUCUUCGUAGACCUCAAGAAAAGUGGGCUCUUUUCCCCAUUUACACAUUCCUACAAAAUUUUAGAAAAAGAGAUAAUGCAAGUGUGAACUACCACCAGAUGUGAAUUCAAAUCCAAAGCCAAAAGUGGUAGAAACUGACUGAGGAAGAGAGGAGGUUAAGGAAGAUGAGGGAAUUUAAAAGCAGCAAGAAUUAAGGGAAUCACAGUUUGAGUCAAAACUCAGUUUGAGUUUUUGAGUGACAUGACCACAGGGAUUGUUUCUAGCUUUUAUAGUGCACUUGCCCAUGUUAUAUUUUAACAUGUUAUAGCAGAUAUCAUGUCCUUUUCCUUCAAUUACUGUUGGUCAUCUUUUAGGUAACUUGAGAGUCUAAAACAACUACUCAGAUUUGUUUCAAUUGAACCGAGAAUUUUUGGAAACAGCUGCACUACACCCGUGAGGUAGUGGUAAGAUCUACAUACACUUAACUGUAUGGACAGUCAUACAUAAUUAUCCUAAUAAACAAAUGGAGCAUAUGACUAGAAUGUAAAUAUCAAUGAUAAGCAAACUUGAUAUCACAAAAGAAGCAGUAAUACUUAGACCAAGCCGUUGCAUUGUUUUGCAAUUUCUUUGAUGUUUGUAAGAAAGCUGCUUCCUUCAAAUGAUCUGCAUUUGAAUUAUAAAAAUUUUUGGCAAGGGUCGUCUUUUACCAAUUCCACCUAUCCCAGAGAUCACGUAUAUGCCAACACUAGUUGAGAUAUCUUCCAACUACAUGAUAAUAUCUAUAGCCCGAUGAUCAAUUCCAAUAAGGUUAGGAGCAUUGUUUAAGACUCUUAGAUGCAGCUUAUUUACAUUCAAAGAAAAACAUUCAAAAGACUAAUAGCAUUCUGCUAGUAAACUACCUGUGUACCAAGGGAGAUAACAAAACUACACAUGACAUUUACAAGAAAUACCGGCUUACAAAUUACAAUUUGAGUCCAGCAAAUGGAAACCAUCAAAAGAGUCCACUAGAAAUAAAAAGUCACCGAGAACAAAACAUUUCAGGAUAUCAUAUUAUAUCCCCAGAAGAAAUUUGGAGUUAUCAUCUAUGAAGCUAUCUGCACUACCCCACAAAAUGAAUGAUGCCUCGUGCUUUAUGAAUCAACAACUCGACAGACAUCCAAAAGACACUCGUACCUUUUUCCAAAUUACAUGACACUCCAUUAUGUGAAGCCCAAAAAAAACUGAUAGUAUUCAGUUUAUAUUCAACUUUCAGGAAUUCAAAUUCACUAAACCACUAAAACAACUCAAGUCUAAUGUGAUGUUUUCUCUACUAAAUCAACUUUUCAAAUAUUCUAUUAUUUUUUACCCUACAACUAAUAUAACAUAUAAGCCAAACUACUGUGCAGUACUUUACUUUCAAAUUUACACUUCUUACUUAAAGUUUAGAUGCACCAACAAGUCCAUAGUAGAUUACUGACAUUAGAACGCCCAGACUGUAGUAUGUUGCUCUAAAAAUUUAUUUUUUCAUCCAAAAAACAUUCUUAGUCACCAAGAUAUAAACAUAUGAAGCAAAACAGAAACUCUCACUUUAUUAACCAUACCCUUAAUUCGUUCAGUGUUACUUGAGUCAAAGGUAUUUCAGAAAAGAACUCUCAACCGGGUAGGGUCUGCAUACACUCUACUUUCCCAAAAAAACUUAAGGAACUUGAUGAGAUUACAAAGAAAGGCUUACUUGUUGGAUUUGCUGAUGGAAAGGUUUUUACCUUGUUGCAUCUCUAACUUUUACAAUAUUCUUUCCCCCUCUUGGUAACUGCAUAUAUUCCUUUUCAUUUUUUAUAGGAACCUAAUUUAUCCUCAAUGGAGGAGUGAAUGAAAAGAAAAAACUCUUAAAGAUGAUGUAAGAGUGGCUACUGCUCCAACUCUUUUAUCUCUUUUCAGAAUAAAUAGAAUAUACUUUGUGCAUGACUUUCUGGGAAUUAACUGACAUGAAACUCACUUAAGGAUGAUUGACUGAUGCACCUUUACAUUGCUGAUAUUUACUUUUAUCUAUACAUUGUGUUUCUCGCCAGGAAGACAUGGCUGAUACAACAAAAUAUACACCUAUUAAUGGUGGAAAAACACUCAUUACUGAACUGAAAACUCAUUUCUCUUUUCUGAAAACUAAAAGAACUGUUACUUAUGCAUAUGGUUUCAUGUUUGUUUUCAUUCUUGUUGCUUUCUUCUUGGCUUUUAGUCCUUCUCCUAACUUUUCUUCUCCAUGGUUCACUAAUAUUUUCUCUUUAAGUAGUAGUAGUAGUACUAGUAGUGAAAGUGGCAGUGGAAGUGAUACUUUUUCUGAUGCAUCUUAUAGAUCUCAUUUCUCUUCUUUUUACUCUUACUUUUUCCCUAAUUCUUCACAGAAAGUUCAAAAUUAUACUAACCCUAAUCCCAAAAUGGAGUCUUGAAUAAACCCUUGAAAGAUUCUGUGAAUAUGUCAGAAGUGGCACUCAUUACAAAGAGUUUUAACAACAAUUUUGCAAACAAUCUAAAAUCUUUUAAUUAACCAUAAAUUCGUCAAGCCAAGCAAAAUCAAUAGUACCAUUAGUCAUCCAAAAACCACUCUGAAAUCAACCAAAAACCGCAAAAUAUACUAAGCAAACCAAUACUUGUCUAACAUUAAGCUCAUCUAUGCAAACAAAUGAACUACAAAACAAACACUGAAUAGCCAACGUAAAAUGGUAGAAGGAAAAAGUAAAGCACAAAGUAGACUUGGCAGAGAGGGAAGGUGAGUUAGCAGUAGUUCUGGCACAAGCGUAGCUGAUCUGAUUAACAAUUUGCUUCCCCAAGUUCACGAGUCCAUGGCUCUGCAAAUUGGCGGCCAUACAAUAUACACUUUAAACAAGUCAACAAGACAGUAUAGCAUAUCCAGAACAAAAAAAUAUUGAUUUGUUGAACCUCUUUUAUUCUUUCACUGUGGAUAAUCAACUUCAUUGGCUUUCUGUUGAAAUAUUAUCAUUGGCUUAGUAAAGGCUAGCAACAACUUUAUACCAUUCACGACCAGUAGUAUACCAUCUUACAACUCUCAAACAAGGUCACUCAUACAAGAAGAACCAAGAUCGACUAGAACUUCCACAAAAACAGAACCAUCCAAUUUGUAAAUACACUAGAUAAACCUAGCUAUUGACUUACUAAUGGAAAACAAUAUCUGAAAACUAAGAUAUAACUUAGUCGAGUCCUGUAACAGAGAACAAUAAUCAUUUAGGACAAUUUCUACUUUUAAGCUAUCCAACUCAUUUUACUCCAGCUUCGGUACAUAUAAAAACCAGUCAAAUAAAUUCAUAAAUGGCAUAACGAAGGAAUGAAACGACGCUAAGAACAAAAAUAAUUUUCUUAUCAACCCAAAAUUUCAAUUAAAAGGAUUCAAUAUAUGAAGAAAAAUUAGUUGUAGAGGGAUCAACACUUACUAUAUACAUAAAAAUAAUUUUAAUCAUAUGUAAAUAGUAUAUUUUUUCAUCAAAAGAGGUUUCGAUAUAGAAGAAAGACAACAAAUCUCCAACUUGCCAUCGCCGUCACCACCAACUCGCCGUCGUCGUCACCACCAAGUCGCCGUCACCGUCGCCUUCAAACCGUCAAGUUGCGGUAUUCUUUGUCUGAGAUUGUGAACUAGGGUUUUGAUUACAUAUUUUUGAGAGAGAACUAGGGUUGAGAGAGAGAGACGGCAGUUAGAGAAAUGGAAAAGU
This 4067-nucleotide long non-coding RNA is filed under the name Capsicum annuum. RNAcentral's name for it is "long non-coding RNA (CANN_LNC008836)". Lineage: Eukaryota; Viridiplantae; Streptophyta; Magnoliopsida; Solanales; Solanaceae. The record is from RNAcentral.